Molecule: long non-coding RNA, 708 nt
Organism: Ailuropoda melanoleuca (giant panda)
Lineage: Eukaryota; Metazoa; Chordata; Mammalia; Carnivora; Ursidae
Exons: 3
Source: RefSeq, a predicted model, not a curated record
ACAGAAAGUAGGUCUGGGCAACUGAACUUCCACGAAGGUCAAGGAUGGGCAGUAUAUCCAACUUAUUCUGGGUGGCAUCUUGUUACUUCUCUGAGACAGCAUCUACACAAUUCAAGGCAGAAAGGAGUGUUCUCACCAUAGCAGGUGUAGCCGUUGAGAGCAAGGCUUUGUGUCAGGCAGACCUGAGUCUGGUUCCAGCCCUCCCAGUUGUCACCUGUGGGACCUGGGGAAGUGAUUAAGAUACCCUGGACUCAGCUUCGUUGUCUGUAGAAUGGGAAUGUGACUGUUUGUAAGGUUUACAUUUGAUAAGGCUUAUAAAGAUCCUCCACUCCCCAGCUCAUGUCCCUUCGUGUUAUUUGCUCUAGUUCUCCUGUCUCACAGCAAGACAGCCAGCAGACCCAGUGCCACCAGCCAGUCUUGCUCCAUCUUUUGAAAUGGACACUGGAUGAGCAUGAAAUACUCCAGGACUCAAAAGAAGGAUAAGUUUCAAAAUCUGAAAUCUUGCAAGCUCGAGCUCAGCUCCUGUGGUUUGAACUUCAGAGCAUCUGUAAAGCCCACAAUCCUUGCAGAAGACUGUCCUCUUUCCCGGGAAGCCUCUGAUGCCCUGCUUUCAUUCAUUGGGGCCAUUUUCAUGAUCCUCUGUCCUUGACGUGGAGCACAGUCUGAUAUCAGCUUCAGGAUCAAGACUUCCCAGUACCUGAGGAUGGA